RNAcentral lists this long non-coding RNA (1420 nucleotides) under Salmo salar (Atlantic salmon). RNAcentral describes it as "lncRNA (ENSSSAG00000096732.1)". Lineage: Eukaryota; Metazoa; Chordata; Actinopteri; Salmoniformes; Salmonidae. The record is from RNAcentral.
UCUGUUAUAAUCUCCACCCGGCAUAGCCAGAAGAGGACUGGCCACCCCUCAUAGCCUGGUUCCUCUCUAGGCUUCUUCCUAGGUUUUGGCCUUUCUAGGGAGUUUUUCCUAGCCACCGUGCUUCUACACCUACAUUGCUUGCUGUUUGGGGUUUUAGGCUGGGUUUCUGUACAGCACUUUGAGAUAUCAGCUGAUGUAAGAAGGGCUAUAUAAAUAAAUUUGAUUUAAAAUAAGGGUUAAAUAAAAAAAUAAAAAAUCUGCAAAUAUACUGUCCUUGUAGCAGGGACAACAGAAACAAACAUCAUUCUUGGUUCUUGGAUCUGAAUCAACUCGACCCCAAAAGAGAAAAAGAAGCGAGAAAAAGACUGCUCCUGACCAAACCAGAUAAACAUUGGAAUUAAUUUUUUAAGAGUAACACUGAAAUGGCCACUGUUCUUAUGGACUGGGAGAUACUGUUGGAGAGUCUGAUUUCGAGAGAACAUGAAGCUGUACAAGUUGUGGUUGUGAAAAAACUGAGAGACCUCAGCCAGGAGAUGUCAUCGAGCCCCUCCCAACUGCAUCAAGCACCAGAUAUGCUGUUCUAAAAGGACCCAAAGACAUUUCAAGAUCCAGAGAAGAGGGUCCUGUACAGCCGUGUUUGAAAACAUUUCCCAGAACUCAGCAUGGUACUAGGAAAAGGGCUUUCAACGGCUCCUGGUAUAAGGACAAUUCAUGGCUUGAAUAUUCUGUAAUUCAAGAUUCAACUUAUUGUUUCGCCUGUAGGCAUUUUUCUCUGCCCAAUACACCUGAAUCUGCCUUCACAUCAGUCAGGUUUUUGUAACUGGAAAAAGACGCUGUUUAAAGAUUCUGGGUUUAAGCUCCAUUCGAAGGCAGAGCAUCAUAUCAAUGCUAUGUAUGCAUGGAAUCAGCAUAAAAGGGCUAUUGACAGCAACUCAUCAAUGUUAGAUGUCAUGAAAGUGGAGGAAAACUGUACUGAUAUUAAAACAAUUGCAGAUGUGCUCCUAUUAACAGCCACUCAAAAUAUAGCGCAGAGAGGUCAUCGAGAGUCUGGUGACUCUCACAACAAGGGUAAGUUUUUGACAAUCUUAGAAGAAAUAGCAAAGUAUGACCCACAUAGAGAAAAGGAUGAAUGCAUGUGGCAAUGCUAAGUACACAAGCCACCAAAUCCAGAAGGAAGUUCUUGAGGGCUGAAAUGGUACAAAGUGAACUAAUAAGAGAAGUAAAAGAAAGUGAAGUUUUUAGUGUAAUUGCAGAUGAAACCAAAGAUAAAAAGAACAAAUGUGUUUAGUUGUGAGCAGGGGCGGAAAUCCCGGGGGGACACGACCCCCCAUAUCCUGGGAAAAACAUGAUUUGUCCCCCCCAAUAUAUCACUGAAACAUAACUAUGUAAUUUAAAUCAUAUUAAUAAUACGCAAUGAAAG